CGGCGGGCCCGCCUUUACUGGCCGCCGGGGGGCUCACGCCCCCGGGCCCGCGCCCGCCGAAGACACCCCCGAACUCUGUCUGAAGAUUGAAGUCUGAGUGAAAAUAUAAAUUAUUUAAAACUUUCAACAACGGAUCUCUUGGUUCCGGCAUCGAUGAAGAACGCAGCGAAAUGCGAUACGUAAUGUGAAUUGCAAAUUCAGUGAAUCAUCGAGUCUUUGAACGCACAUUGCGCCCCCUGGUAUUCCGGGGGGCAUGCCUGUCCGAGCGUCAUUGCUGCCCUCAAGCCCGGCUUGUGUGUUGGGCCCCGUCCUCCGAUUCCGGGGGACGGGCCCGAAAGGCAGCGGCGGCACCGCGUCCGGUCCUCGAGCGUAUGGGGCUUUGUCACCCGCUCUGUAGGCCCGGCCGGCGCUUGCCGAUCAACCCAAAUUUUUAUCCAGGUUGACCUCGGAUCAGGUAGGGAUACCCGCUGAACUUAAGCAUAUCAAUAAG
Molecule: ribosomal RNA, 490 nt
Filed under: Penicillium polonicum
Lineage: Eukaryota; Fungi; Ascomycota; Eurotiomycetes; Eurotiales; Aspergillaceae
Description: eukaryotic LSU rRNA
Rfam family: 5.8S ribosomal RNA (bases 119-271)
Source: RNAcentral